This 374-nucleotide unclassified non-coding RNA is filed under the name soil metagenome. RNAcentral describes it as "partial contains internal transcribed spacer 2 and large subunit ribosomal RNA". The stretch from base 1 to 120 matches the Rfam family "5.8S ribosomal RNA", at positions 35 to 154 of the family's 154-position model. The record is from RNAcentral.
GAUGAAGAACGUAGUGAAAUGCGAUAAUUAAUGUGAAUUGCAGAAUUCCGUGAAUCAUCGAGUCUUUGAACGCACAUUGCGCCUCAUGGCAUUCCGUGAGGCAUGCCCAUCUCAGCGUUAGAAAAUAUUCUCAAAUUUUAGUUUUGUGCUAAAAUUUGGAUCAUGUCAAGGAAGCUAUUACUAUUAUUGUGAUCGCUCUUUGGAAAUUGAUAGGUAUUUGAGUUGCUACUCAUAGAACGUGAUGAAUCUUUCUUCGUUCUAUUGUAAUUCACUCUGGUAGUCCUAAAACUUGUAUGCCUGUGGCAUAUCUUGUAAUUUGACCUGAGAUUGGGUAGGGAUACCCGCUGAACUUAAGCAUAUCAAUAAGCGGAGGA